Molecule: long non-coding RNA, 971 nt
Organism: Quercus robur (English oak)
Lineage: Eukaryota; Viridiplantae; Streptophyta; Magnoliopsida; Fagales; Fagaceae
Exons: 2
Source: RefSeq, a predicted model, not a curated record
GGGGAAGAUGGUAGAUAGGACUGGUAACAUGCAUGUGAGAGGUUGGGUUGGACAAAAAGGCAAAGCCCAAUUUCAUUUUCGCUCUCAUCAGCAUUUCAGAAUCACACGAGCCAUCUAACCCGACUGCCUACGCUUUCUUUCUCAACCCUACUCUUCAGUCUUAGUCAUGAUUCAUGACUAACCCCCCACAACUUUUCCAUCUACUCUCUCUCUCUACUUUUGAGGACACAAUUACCCUUGCACUCACUUUUCUAUUUUGCAAGGAAGGUUGUUGUUAUGGUGCAAAGGCAAGCACAUGCACACACCCUCAGCUGUAUUAUGUGUCACCAGUGAGUCAAAGCUUUUCACGUGCCACAGGUUGCAGUUGCACAUAUACAGACUCACACGCUUUAGUUUCCUCAAGAUAUUUGUUUCUUAUCUCUAUAAAAACAAGGUUGGUCCUCACCGUAGAACACACCUCGAUCGUAUCGGUGGUCACUCAGAAUCAGGGUAUCACUGGCCUCAGGGACCAGAAGGUUUCUAAGGUGACAGUUCAACCAAGAUCGAAGCGUGUUCAGAUGGAGUAUUGGUGUGUGGAUCCAUGCUAUGCUUUGUCAAGUGAGUGGUCUUUUUGCGGAUUAACCUUUGCUUCGUUGUCUGUUCGACCUUGAACAUAUUAGCCAGUCAGUUAAUUAACACUAUAGUCAGGAAAACCCUAAUCGGAAUCACUUUUUGUUUUGUAUUAUUUAUAGAAAGUGAACCAGUUUUUGGUUCCUACGGUUAUGAAUUUUCCCUAUAGAUGAAGUGAGUGUGAUUAGUAUCAUCAGCUUACAACUUUUUGGGGUUCGAGCUGAUAACCCAAUGGUACUGACACCUCUCUGGUGCAAGGUGUCUAGGGUUCGAAUCCUUGAUGAUUAGCAGCAUAACCAGAGUAAAUAGUUCUGAUAUGCAUGUAUAUGCGUGAGACUAAAUAUAUGUAUUUUAUGUGUUAC